CCUACGGGUGGCAGCAGUGGGGAAUAUUGGACAAUGGGCGAAAGCCUGAUCCAGCCAUGCCGCGUGAGUGAUGAAGGCCCUAGGGUUGUAAAGCUCUUUCAGCGGGGAAGCGGUACCCGCAGAAGAAGCCCCGGCUAACUUCGUGCCAGCAGCCGCGGUAAUACGAAGGGGGCUAGCGUUGCUCGGAAUCACUGGGCGUAAAGCGCACGUAGGCGGCUUUCUAAGUCAGGGGUGAAAUCCCGGAGCUUAACUCCGGAACUGCCUUUGAUACUGGAAAGCUUGAGUUCGGGAGAGGUGAGUGGAACUGCGAGUGUAGAGGUGAAAUUCGUAGAUAUUCGCAAGAACACCAGUGGCGAAGGCGGCUCACUGGCCCGUCUGACGCUGAGGUGCGAAAGCGUGGGGAGCAAACAGGAUUAAUACCCUAGUAGUC
This 430-nucleotide ribosomal RNA is filed under the name uncultured bacterium. RNAcentral describes it as "partial 16S ribosomal RNA". It matches the Rfam family "Bacterial small subunit ribosomal RNA", at positions 338 to 795 of the family's 1533-position model. The record is from RNAcentral.